This 151-nucleotide ribosomal RNA is filed under the name uncultured crenarchaeote. RNAcentral's name for it is "partial 16S ribosomal RNA". It matches the Rfam family "Archaeal small subunit ribosomal RNA", at positions 321 to 473 of the family's 1478-position model. Lineage: Archaea; Thermoproteati; Thermoproteota. The record is from RNAcentral.
CCCUACGGGGNGCANCAGUCGCGAAAACUUUGCAAUACACGAAAGUGUGACAGGGCUAUCCCGAGUGCCAUCCGCUGAGGAAGGCUUUUACCCAGUCUAGAACGCUGGGGGAAUAAGGAGAGGGCAAGUCUGGUGUCAGCCGCCGCGGUAA